GACGAACGCUGGCGGCGUGGAUUAGGCAUGCAAGUCGGACGGUAGGGCUUUAUCGUAAGAUAGAGUUUGAGAGUGGCGAACGGGUGAGUAACACGUAGGAAUCUACCCUUAAGACGGGGACAACCCAGGGAAACUUGGGCUAAUACCGGAUGAGAGUGCGAGAGAUUGCAUUUAAAAGGAUGGCGAAAGUUAUCGCUUAGGGAUGAGCCUGCGGUCUAUUAGUUAGUUGGUGGGGUAAGAGCUCACCAAGGCGAUGAUAGAUAGGCGGCCUUAACGGGUGGUCGCCCACACUGGGAUUGAGAUACGGCCCAGACUCCUACGGGAGGCAGCAGUCGAGAAUAGUCUACAAUGGCCGGAAGGCUGAUAGUGCGACGCCGCGUGAACGAGGGAGCCCUUCGGGUGUAAAGUUCUUUUCUAUUACGAGCAGUGCUAUAUUAUAUUGGAUAGUAUAUAUAGAGGGAUAGUAGUAUAGGAAUAAGCAACGGCUAACUCCGUAGCCAGCAGCCGCGU
RNAcentral lists this ribosomal RNA (510 nucleotides) under uncultured bacterium. RNAcentral's name for it is "bacterial SSU rRNA". It matches the Rfam family "Bacterial small subunit ribosomal RNA", at positions 28 to 520 of the family's 1533-position model. The record is from RNAcentral.